CUGCAGCCCGACUUGAACGGAAAUCCUUUUUUGCGUGAAUUAAAGUUCUAUUUAAACUGAAAUCGUCUGCAAAAAAGAUUGGGAGUGGAAGGCGGAAAAGCU
RNAcentral lists this small RNA (102 nucleotides) under Epilithonimonas xixisoli. RNAcentral's name for it is "Chryseobacterium xixisoli Flavo-1 RNA". The record is from RNAcentral. Lineage: Bacteria; Pseudomonadati; Bacteroidota; Flavobacteriia; Flavobacteriales; Weeksellaceae.